Molecule: ribosomal RNA, 533 nt
Filed under: Neidium affine
Lineage: Eukaryota; Bacillariophyta; Bacillariophyceae; Surirellales; Neidiaceae
Description: eukaryotic LSU rRNA
Rfam family: Eukaryotic large subunit ribosomal RNA
Source: RNAcentral
UAAUUAGGCGGAGGAAAAGAAACUAACAAGGAUUCCCUCAGUAAGGGCGACUGAACGGGGAACAGCUCAGUAUGAAAUUGGCAUUUAAUGUCGAAUUGUGUGCUAAAAGCUUUGACGUUACAAUAUCCGCUGUUAAAUCUCUUGGAAAAGAGUAGCAUAGAGGGUGAUACUCCUGUCAACAGCGGUCAUUGAGUUGAAGUUCUUGAGUCGUGCUGCUUGGGAUUGCAGUUCUAAGUGGGUGGUAAAUUCCAUCUAAGGCUAAAUAUUGGUAGGACACCGAUAGAGAACAAGUACCGUGAGGGAAAGAUGCAAAGAACUUUGAAAAGAGAGUUAAAGAGUACUUGAAAUUGCUAAAAGGGAAGCGAAGGAAUCCAGUGUGUAUCUGGUUGUACUUUCUGGUGUGCUUGCAUACUGGGCACUGCAGCCGGUGAUGUAUGUCAUGGUUGGGGCUGGCGAAGAGUGUCAUGGUGAUCAGUCACUGUGUUUGCUUGCUGUCCCCAACUUUGAACUGCAAAAUGGUUUUCUUUUCCCCG